CAGCCGCCGCGGGAAUACGUAGGGUGCAAGCGUUAAUCGGAAUUACUGGGCGUAAAGCGUGCGCAGGCGGUUUUGUAAGACAGAGGUGAAAUCCCCGGGCUCAACCUGGGAACUGCCUUUGUGACUGUAUAGCUAGAGUACGGCAGAGGGGGAUGGAAUUCCGCGUGUAGCAGUGAAAUGCGUAGAUAUGCGGAGGAACACCGAUGGCGAAGGCAAUCCCCUGGGCCUGUACUGACGCUCAUGCACGAAAGCGUGGGGAGCAAACAGGAUUAGAUACCCGCGUAGUCCCUGUCUCUUAUAA
RNAcentral lists this ribosomal RNA (301 nucleotides) under uncultured bacterium. RNAcentral describes it as "partial 16S ribosomal RNA". It matches the Rfam family "Bacterial small subunit ribosomal RNA", at positions 509 to 809 of the family's 1533-position model. The record is from RNAcentral.